This 623-nucleotide long non-coding RNA is filed under the name Brassica napus (rape). RNAcentral describes it as "long non-coding RNA (BNAP_LNC019937)". Lineage: Eukaryota; Viridiplantae; Streptophyta; Magnoliopsida; Brassicales; Brassicaceae. The record is from RNAcentral.
CUUAAGGCUGGAAAUGGACCAAGGGAAAAGCAAGAGGAAGUUGAAACUGGGUGUAAAGUAGGUGGAGGGUCAUCGGUGAAAGAAGUAGAUGGAGGUGAUAAGGAAAGAGAGGAUCUGGCUCUUUUAAGGGAAGGUUUGGUAGUUUUUGAAGGAGUGGAAAACACACAGGGAAGGGUUGCAGUUGAAAGGAUUGCGGAAGUACGGGGCUUAGGAGGAGGGAGAGAAGGUAAAAGAUGGAGGAGGGUCAAUUGGUUUAGGGUCUAAGGCUGAAGAAGGAGGAAUUUCCACAUCCAUAGGACCAGAGGAAGAAGCAUCAGUUCGGGCUUUUGGCACAGGUACAUAGAUUUCGUUUUGGCCAUUCUUUGCAACCUUUAUGUGUUGCUUACCAUUCUUUUUAGCAGGAGUUUUAUGAACUGAUUGCUUUCCUUUGGCAUGAGAAUCAUCUUGGACGUUUACUGGAGGUGUGAACUGUAAGCAACUCUUGAGGAUGUGCCCUAGUUCAUGACAGUGAGAGCAUGUGGGAGGAGUCCAUGGAUAAUCAACAAGCACCUCAACAACUUCUCCAUUAUGCCUUUCAAAUUCUACAAUCUUCGGCAGGGGCUGAGUAAGAUCCACUUCAACCU